Molecule: ribosomal RNA, 700 nt
Filed under: Pleurocapsa sp. HPC-17
Lineage: Bacteria; Bacillati; Cyanobacteriota; Cyanophyceae; Pleurocapsales; Pleurocapsaceae
Description: partial 16S ribosomal RNA
Rfam family: Bacterial small subunit ribosomal RNA
Source: RNAcentral
CAAGUCGAACGAGGAUCUUCGGAUUCUAGUGGCGGACGGGUGAGUAACGCGUGAGAAUCUGCCUUCAGGUCUGGGAUAACANCUGGAAACGGUUGCUAAUACCGGAUGAGCCGAGAGGUAAAAGCUUUAGUGCCUGAAGAUGAGCUCGCGUCUGAUUAGCUAGUUGGUGGGGUAAGAGCCUACCAAGGCRGYGAUCRGUAGYUGGUCUGAGAGGAUGAKCAGCCCACACUGGGAYUGAGACACGGCCCAGAYUCYUACGGGAGGCAGCAGUGGGGAAUUUUCCGCAAUGGGCGAAAGCCUGACGGAGCAAYRCCGCGUGAGGGAGGAAKGYCUKUGGGAUUGUAAACCUCUUUUYUMARGGAAGAAGAWMGUGACGGUACUUUAAGAAUCAGCAUCGGCUAACUCCGUGCCAGCAGCCGCGGUAAUACGGAGGAUGCAAGCGUUAUCCGGAAUCAUUGGGCGUAAAGCGUCCGCAGGUGGCAGUUCAAGUCUGCUGUUAAAGACAGAAGCUCAACUUCUGAACAGCAGUGGAAACUGGACAGCUAGAGUACGGUAGGGGUUGAGGGAAUUCCCAGUGUAGCGGUGAAAUGCGUAGAUAUUGGGAAGAACACCAGUGGCGAAGGCGCUCAACUGGACCGUAACUGACACUCAGGGACGAAAGCUAGGGUAGCGAAAGGGAUUAGAUACCCCUGUAGUCUUA